AUUGAACGCUGGCGGCAUGCUUUACACAUGCAAGUCGAACGGUAACAGGGUGCUUGCACCGCUGACGAGUGGCGAACGGGUGAGUAAUGCGUCGGAACGUGCCGAGUAGUGGGGGAUAACGCAGCGAAAGUUGUGCUAAUACCGCAUACGUACUGAGGUAGAAAGUGGGGGACCUUCGGGCCUCACGCUAUUCGAGCGGCCGACGUCUGAUUAGCUAGUAGGUGAGGUAAAGGCUCACCUAGGCGACGAUCAGUAGCGGGUCUGAGAGGAUGAUCCGCCACACUGGGACUGAGACACGGCCCAGACUCCUACGGGAGGCAGCAGUGGGGAAUUUUGGACAAUGGGCGAAAGCCUGAUCCAGCCAUGCCGUGUGUCUGAAGAAGGCCUUCGGGUUGUAAAGGACUUUUGUCAGGGAGGAAAUCCCUAGUGCUAAUAACACUGGGGGAUGACAGUACCUGAAGAAUAAGCACCGGCUAGCUACGUGCCAGCAGCCGCCGUAA
This 500-nucleotide ribosomal RNA is filed under the name uncultured bacterium. RNAcentral describes it as "partial 16S ribosomal RNA". It matches the Rfam family "Bacterial small subunit ribosomal RNA", at positions 30 to 523 of the family's 1533-position model. The record is from RNAcentral.